GACGAACGCUGGCGGCGUGCCUAAUACAUGCCAGUAGAACGCUGAAGGAGGAGCUUGCUUCUCUGGAUGAGUUGCGAACGGGUGAGUAACGCGUAGGUAAACUGCCUGGGAGCGGGGGAUAACUAUUGGAAACGAUAGCUAAUACCGCAUAAGAGUAGAUGUUGCAUGACAUUUGCUUAAAAGGUGCAAUUGCAUCACUACCAGAUGGACCUGCGUUGUAUUAGCUAGUUGGUGGGGUAACGGCUCACCAAGGCGACGAUACAUAGCCGACCUGAGAGGGUGAUCGGCCACACUGGGACUGAGACACGGCCCAGACUCCUACGGGAGGCAGCAGUAGGGAAUCUUCGGCAAUGGACGGAAGUCUGACCGAGCAACGCCGCGUGAGUGAAGAAGGUUUUCGGAUCGUAAAGCUCUGUUGUAAGAGAAGAACGAGUGUGAGAGUGGAAAGUUCACACUGUGACGGUAUCUUACCAGAAAGGGACGGCUAACUACGUG
Molecule: ribosomal RNA, 495 nt
Filed under: uncultured bacterium
Lineage: Bacteria
Description: partial 16S ribosomal RNA
Rfam family: Bacterial small subunit ribosomal RNA
Source: RNAcentral